AUUGAACGCUGGCGGCAUGCUUUACACAUGCAAGUCGAACGGCAGCGCGGGCUUCGGCCUGGCGGCGAGUGGCGAACGGGUGAGUAAUACAUCGGAACGUGCCCAGUAGUGGGGGAUAGCUCGGCGAAAGCCGGAUUAAUACCGCAUACGACCUGAGGGUGAAAGCGGGGGAUCUUCGGACCUCGCGCUAUUGGAGCGGCCGAUGGCAGAUUAGUUAGUUGGUGGGGUAAAGGCCUACCAAGGCGACGAUCUGUAGCUGGUCUGAGAGGACGACCAGCCACACUGGGACUGAGACACGGCCCAGACUCCUACGGGAGGCAGCAGUGGGGAAUUUUGGACAAAGGGCGAAAGCCUGAUCCAGCAAUGCCGCGUGUGUGAUGAAGGCCUUCGGGUUGUAAAGCACUUUUGGCGGGAACGAAAAGGACUGUGCCAAUACCACGGUUCGAUGACGGUACCCGCAGAAUAAGCACCGGCUAACUACGUG
Molecule: ribosomal RNA, 484 nt
Filed under: uncultured bacterium
Lineage: Bacteria
Description: partial 16S ribosomal RNA
Rfam family: Bacterial small subunit ribosomal RNA
Source: RNAcentral